CAAAGGCUCCGGAGGAAGCCACGGCCAACUCUGUGCCAGCAGCCGCGGUAAUACAGGGGCGGCAAGCGUUGUUCGGAAUUAUUGGGCGUAAAGAGCACGUAGGCGGCUAUGUAAGUCUGUUGUGAAAGCCUUCCGCUCAACGGAAGAACUGCAGCAGAUACUGCAUGGCUAGAGUGCGGGAGGGGAGAGUGGAACUUCUGGUGGAGCGGUGAAAUGCGUAGAUAUCAGAAGGAACGCCGGCGGCGAAAGCGACUCUCUGGCCCGUAACUGACGCUGAGUGUGCGAAGGCUAGGGGAGCAAACGGGAUUAGAUACCCCGGUAGUCCUAGCCGUAAA
RNAcentral lists this ribosomal RNA (335 nucleotides) under uncultured Planctomycetales bacterium. RNAcentral describes it as "bacterial SSU rRNA". It matches the Rfam family "Bacterial small subunit ribosomal RNA", at positions 473 to 806 of the family's 1533-position model. The record is from RNAcentral. Lineage: Bacteria; Pseudomonadati; Planctomycetota; Planctomycetia; Planctomycetales.